RNAcentral lists this ribosomal RNA (113 nucleotides) under Periophthalmus magnuspinnatus. Lineage: Eukaryota; Metazoa; Chordata; Actinopteri; Gobiiformes; Gobiidae. The record is from RNAcentral.
CUUUAUGUAUUGUACCACCUUGAUAAUUCCCGAUCUCGUCUCAGAAGCUAAGCAGGAUAGAGUUGGUUAGUAUUUGGAUGGGAGACCACAGGGAAUACACGGUGCUGUAGUGG